Acanthosepion pharaonis is the source of this 104-nucleotide non-coding RNA. The record is from the annotation of a GenBank genome assembly. NCBI's taxonomy places the organism in Eukaryota, Metazoa, Mollusca, Cephalopoda, Sepiida, Sepiidae.
ACAUCAUGUGGGAACACCAGUUCCUGUAUGAUCACUGAAGUUAAGCAACAUCAACCCUGGUUAGUACCUAAAUGGGUGACCGCUUAGGAAUACCAGGUGCUAUA